AGCUCAGUUGGUAGAGCAUCGCAUUCGUAAUGCGGGGGUCGCAAGUUCGAGUCUUGCAG
This 59-nucleotide transfer RNA is filed under the name Rhodospirillaceae bacterium. RNAcentral's name for it is "tRNA-Thr". It matches the Rfam family "tRNA", at positions 9 to 63 of the family's 71-position model. Rfam says of the family: Transfer RNA (tRNA) molecules are approximately 80 nucleotides in length. Their secondary structure includes four short double-helical elements and three loops (D, anti-codon, and T loops). Lineage: Bacteria; Pseudomonadati; Pseudomonadota; Alphaproteobacteria; Rhodospirillales; Rhodospirillaceae. The record is from RNAcentral.